ACCUCUGUUCCAGUCUUGUGAAAUUGUCAACAUCUCUGAAUUUAGCCGAGUAAAUCCGUCUCUCAGAUAACCCACUUCAGGCUUUACUCAAAACCUCUGGGCCAAUCUGUGAGCUGUGAGGAAAAUACCAAACCGCUAAUUAACAAAAGCUAUCUUGGCUAUGAUUUAGAAAUAAACUCUAAUUUAGUCCUGAAAGCAAUUAAGCGAGUCUGUAAUGUUAAAACAAAUGAUAGCAGAAGGUUAAUGGGAAGGGAAUUGAAAUUGAGAUUAUGCUGAUUAAAGCCAACUGUCAUGUGGUCAGAUGGAAGCAGAACGAAAUGAGGGACUGAAACACAGACGCUCACAGGAAGCCAAGGUUGAGCUGAGCAGGGACUGUUGAGGGGAAAACAGAGCACCUGCAGUGAGACCAGGGGAAAAUACUGCAUCAAGAAAAUUUCUUCAAGCCAAAUCCCAGUCAUGGUGUGAUUUAUGGGGACGCAGUAACACAUGGGACGUCAGAGCCAAUCAUCAUUCAUCUCUAAAGAAAGAACAGCUCACGGUUGAGCUCCCAUGGGCAGCACCCCCAGCAGAACAGGUCAGAGGAGACCAGGGUCAUUCUGCCUAUGCUGUACAUUUUCAUGUCCCCAUCAUGUCUAAAGAAGAAAAUCAUAUUCUCUAGUUGCUAGAAAAACAGGCAAUUUAUUAAGAAAUAUUUGAAUGUUUCUUCAUUGUUCCUUUACUAAUCAAUGUUUCUUCAUUGUUCAAUGUUGUUUCUCCAGUGUUUCAUUGUUCAAUGUUGUUUCUUCAAUUUUUCUUCAUUGUUCCUUUACUAAUCAAUAUUUACACAAUACGUUUUCUUGAGAAUAUUGGUUUCCUGUUUGGAUCCCGAGUGCACAAUAUUACUUUUCAUCCAGUUAGUAAUAUCCCUUAACUAACAUAAACCCAUUCCUUAAUGACAUCAUCAUACAGGAAGUGACAUCAUUUUGGAAGGAAAACCAGCACUGGUCACUAAGUAUAGAGCGCUGCAAGGCUAGUCUUGUAGUUAGCAUCACCCUGGUUCCCUCAACAAAAAGACAAUAGGAUUUUCCACUGGAUUAGAUUUUUGCAACAACAAAAAAGCAGCUCUGUGACGAACAGAAGUUUAUGAUGCAUGCAAGUUUUAUUCAUUAUAAUAAUCUUAACAAAUGAACACAAUUUGUAUAAAUUUUGAAGCCAAU
Molecule: long non-coding RNA, 1196 nt
Organism: Cyprinus carpio (common carp)
Lineage: Eukaryota; Metazoa; Chordata; Actinopteri; Cypriniformes; Cyprinidae
Exons: 3
Source: RefSeq, a predicted model, not a curated record